RNAcentral lists this ribosomal RNA (477 nucleotides) under Candidatus Scalindua wagneri. RNAcentral's name for it is "bacterial SSU rRNA". It matches the Rfam family "Bacterial small subunit ribosomal RNA", at positions 365 to 832 of the family's 1533-position model. The record is from RNAcentral. Lineage: Bacteria; Pseudomonadati; Planctomycetota; Candidatus Brocadiia; Candidatus Brocadiales; Candidatus Scalinduaceae.
UUCGCAAUGCCCGAAAGGGUGACGAAGCGACGCCGCGUGAGCGAAGAAGGCCCUAGGGUUGUAAAGCUCUGUCGGGGGUUAUGAAAUGUAGAUCGGUUAAUACCCGGUUUAUUUGACAAAGGCCCCAAAGGAAGCCACGGCUAACUCUGUGCCAGCAGCCGCGGUAAUACAGAGGUGGCAAGCGUUGUUCGGUAUUAUUGGGCGUAAAGAGCACGUAGGUGGUUUUGUAAGUCAGAUGUGAAAGCCUUCUGUUCAAAGGAAGAACGGCAUCUGAAACUGCAGAUCUUGAGUGUAGGAGGGGAGAGUGGAACUUCUGGUGGAGCGGUGAAAUGCGUAGACAUCAGAAGGAACGUCGGCGGCGAAAGCGACUCUCUGGCCUAUUACUGACACUGAGUGUGCGAAAGUUAGGGGAGCAAACGGGAUUAGAUACCACGGUAGUCCUAACUGUAAACGAUGGGCACUAAGUAGAGGGGUUUU